GUUCGGGAAUUUGAAAACGAUGAUCGCAGAAGGACUUCGAUUAGGUCUUUGUUAUGCGAUGUGUUAUCUUCCUGAUGCUAUGUACCCAAAAAAAAGGAAUUAAAAAAUGUGAAAGUGACGAAUGUCUUAAAUAAUGUGAUUUGUCUAAAUAUGUGUUUUGUAAACAAACGAUUCAUAUGUAUAAAUAAUAAAAAUGCACGUGUUAUGGGCUCGCAGACUGAUUGACCAUUUGGAAUAGCUAAAUUGCUGUAACUCCGUGCAUCGAUCUCUACGCCAGAUGCUCCUGAUUAUUGUGGAUUAACGUUAAUUUGGUUUCCGUGUCCAACGCCUACGUGACCCUAAUAAGAGGUCAAUAACGAGGUCGCAAGGCUCUGUCACAGUGAAACGGUAAGAGUUAGUCAGUUAUGUUUUCAAGUUAUACGUUAUUGUGGCGUAAAUAUUGUCUGGUGAAUUUUUGAUCUGGCGGUUUCUAAAAAUGGCUUAACUUGCAAAUUCCAAAAUGGUAUGUUUUGUCGUUUACAAACUAGACUAUCCAAACCUUUUGGGAAAAAUCAUUCCUUUGGACAUGGCUUUUGAUGAGUUAUCAUUACAAAUUGGUUAGUCCAA
Agrilus planipennis (emerald ash borer) is the source of this 606-nucleotide long non-coding RNA. RefSeq lists it as uncharacterized. The record is from RefSeq and is a predicted model, not a curated record. NCBI's taxonomy places the organism in Eukaryota, Metazoa, Arthropoda, Insecta, Coleoptera, Buprestidae. The transcript is spliced from 3 exons.